AAGUGGGUCUAGGACCUCUGGGUGGUCGCGCUGUUUCCCGGCCCAUGCACCAAAUGAAAGACCCCCGAAGGGAGACCCUCCCUCAGACACUUAAGUCUCGGGACAGCCGCGUACCCAAGAAGACACUGAGACCAUACAUAAAAUGUAGAAGGCCUAAAUGACAAGUGACACUCCUUUGGGACCUUCACCAGACCCUUCAUAUCAUUACCAGUAAGGUGCGUCUACAGGAACCCAGGACACUUGUACAUUCCUACAACAUCAGUAUCUUCAAGAAAUCUCUAUUCUGACAAAAUUCUGCACGUGGCCUUAACAAUUUGAUAAAAGUUAUUGCUGAGUCCUUGCCAGUGUCUGACAGCAUUGUCCCAGACUUUGCAUGAGGUGAUGUAAAAGUCAAGGGACCCACUACUUGGAAUCUAUAUGCUUCAUUAUUUAGUCCCAAGAAGAACCCACUUACAAGUCAUUGUUAGAAGUAACCAGUGUGCAUAUAGAACCAGUCAUUGAAGAAUGAACUUGCUUAUCAUGGACAUCAAGAGCCAAUGGAAGAGAACAUUUUUUCCUAGGGAGAGGAGUAUACAGAGUUAAAAGCAUAAUGGGAACUCGAGUUUUUCACACAAAUCCAGAACCAGGAGGCUUCGAUUCUUGAUGGAACAACUCCAGGAAAGAAACUUUGGGAAGCUCUAAGGGGCCAUGACGGAACUUCUCUGGAUCCCAAGUGUCUGGAAGACUUGGACUGUUACUGAAAGAGCAUGACUUAUGUCCUGGAAUUGAUGAUGCCUUCCUGUAGGAGGAAUAUAAGAGGCACUAAGGUUAUAGAACAGAUGCCGAAAUGGCCACGUUUUCAGUGCUUCCUAGACUCCGACAUUUGCCAUCGUAUGUCUAGUUAGUAUGACUUUUCGUCUUUUUGUAAAAUAGUUUUGUUUAAUACAGAGAUGAUUACAUAAUAAUAGCUAAAAUUACUUGUUCAUAAUAGGUGUUCGAUGACAUUGCAUUUGGAUAAAUAGAUAAUUACUCUGUAUAAAACAAAAUAAAGUUGAGAAAUAACUU
Molecule: long non-coding RNA, 1044 nt
Filed under: Mus musculus (house mouse)
Lineage: Eukaryota; Metazoa; Chordata; Mammalia; Rodentia; Muridae
Source: RNAcentral